CUCCACCAGUCAGGUGAGGUUAGGACAAAGCAUAGUUCUGAAGACCUGACCUGGAGGCAGAGUGAAGACAUCUCUCCCUUCAGAUGUCUAUCUGGAGUUCAGGGUUUCCUGGGUUCUGGUCUGCCCUGAAUCAAAAGGACUCUUGCUGCUGCUUACUGUUUGGGUCCGCACUGCCUUUAUGAGCUGUAACAGUAAUCACAAAGGUCUGCAGCUUCACUCCUGAGCCAGUGAGACCAGCAACCCAUCACAAGGAAGAAACUCCAAACAUGUCCAAAUAUCAGAAGGAACAAACUCCUGACACACUGCUUUUAAGAACUGUAACACUCACCGCCAGGGUCUGAGGCUUCAUUCUUGAAGUCAGUGAGACCAAGAACCCACCAAUUCUGGACACACUGGGUUUACAGAUGUGAGCCUCGGCGCUUGGCCACCAUGCCUUUUUUAGGGUGGCCUAUUUUAUAUGUGUACACACUUCUCCGUUUUGAAAUGAGACGUUCUUACACCCAAACAGAUCCUGAAAUAAAGCUUCAGGUUUUCUCAGAUGAUGUAUGUGUUUUCAGUGUGAUCAAUAACUGAUCAUUUCUUCUCUUUUUUCCUUUACCUAAUUUAAAUAUGAUUUGUCUGCUGGGACUCUGGAUACAUUGUGAAAAGUUUUCGAUUAUUUUCAGCCCCGGCAAUCGGUUUUAUUCUCUGUGUUUAGUUCACAAAACAGAGUCUCAGAAGGGCAAUGUCUGUAAUUUGCCACUGGGUGACUGUGCCUAGCACAAAACCUAGCGUGUGGGAAGCUGCAUAAAUGCCAUUUAGACACAUAAAUAAAAACCGUUUACCUAUGACACAUUUUAUUCUUUCUAGGUAUAAAAGGCGGGAAACUGGUAAUUUGAAAUCAAAACAGUACUUUUUAGUUUGAAA
RNAcentral lists this long non-coding RNA (906 nucleotides) under Homo sapiens (human). RNAcentral's name for it is "HSALNT0059874". Lineage: Eukaryota; Metazoa; Chordata; Mammalia; Primates; Hominidae. The record is from RNAcentral.